AACGAACGCUGGCGGCAGGCUUAACACAUGCAAGUCGAACGCUCGUAGCAAUACGGGAGUGGCGGACGGGUGAGUAACGCGUGGGAACGUGCCCUGAGGUACGGAAUAACUGAGGGAAACUUCAGCUAAUACCGUAUGAGCCCCGAGAGGGGGAAAGAUUUAUCGCCUUGGGAGCGGCCCGCGUCGGAUUAGCUAGUUGGUGGGGUAACGGCCUACCAAGGCUUCGAUCCGUAGCUGGUCUGAGAGGACGAUCAGCCACACUGGUACUGAGACACGGACCAGACUCCUACGGGAGGCAGCAGUGAGGAAUAUUGGACAAUGGGCGCAAGCCUGAUCCAGCCAUGCCGCGUGAGUGAAGAAGGCCUUC
RNAcentral lists this ribosomal RNA (367 nucleotides) under uncultured bacterium. RNAcentral's name for it is "bacterial SSU rRNA". It matches the Rfam family "Bacterial small subunit ribosomal RNA", at positions 29 to 419 of the family's 1533-position model. The record is from RNAcentral.